ACGAACGCUGGCGGCGUGCCUAAUACAUGCAAGUCGAACGCUUCUUUCCUCCCGAGUGCUUGCACUCAAUUGGAAAGAGGAGUGGCGGACGGGUGAGUAACACGUGGGUAACCUACCCAUCAGAGGGGGAUAACACUUGGAAACAGGUGCUAAUACCGCAUAACAGUUUAUGCCGCAUGGCAUAAGAGUGAAAGGCGCUUUCGGGUGUCGCUGAUGGAUGGACCCGCGGUGCAUUAGCUAGUUGGUGAGGUAACGGCUCACCAAGGCCACGAUGCAUAGCCGACCUGAGAGGGUGAUCGGCCACACUGGGACUGAGACACGGCCCAGACUCCUACGGGAGGCAGCAGUAGGGAAUCUUCGGCAAUGGACGAAAGUCUGACCGAGCAACGCCGCGUGAGUGAAGAAGGUUUUCGGAUCGUAAAACUCUGUUGUUAGAGAAGAACAAGGACGUUAGUAACUGAACGUCCCCUGACGGUAUCUAACCAGAAAGGCACGGCUAACUACGUG
Molecule: ribosomal RNA, 507 nt
Filed under: uncultured bacterium
Lineage: Bacteria
Description: partial 16S ribosomal RNA
Rfam family: Bacterial small subunit ribosomal RNA
Source: RNAcentral